GUGGAUUAGAUACCCUGGUCGUCCACGCCGUAAACGAUGAGUACUAAGUGUAGGGGAAACUCUGUGCUGAAGUUAACGCAUUAAGUACUCCGCCUGGGUAGUACGUUCGCAAGAAUGAAACUUAAAGGAAUUGACGGGGGCCCGCACAAGCAGUGGAGCAUGUGGUUUAAUUCGACGCUACGCGAAGAACCUUACCAGGACUUGACAUGGAAUUAAAGGCCGUAGAGAUACGGAGAUAGUUAUAGUUCACACAGGUGGUGCAUGACUGUCGCCAGCU
RNAcentral lists this ribosomal RNA (277 nucleotides) under uncultured bacterium. Its description in RNAcentral is "partial 16S ribosomal RNA". It matches the Rfam family "Bacterial small subunit ribosomal RNA", at positions 773 to 1060 of the family's 1533-position model. The record is from RNAcentral.